UUACGGCCAUAUCAUUUUGAAAUACCGGUUCCCGUCCAAUCACCAAAGUUAAGCAAUAUUGACUCUGGUCAGUACCUAGAUGAAUAACCGCUUGGGGAUACCGCGUGCUGUAAG
Non-coding RNA from Acanthosepion pharaonis, 114 nucleotides. Lineage: Eukaryota; Metazoa; Mollusca; Cephalopoda; Sepiida; Sepiidae. The record is from the annotation of a GenBank genome assembly.